CUCUGUUUUCGUUUUUCCCUGGUGGCUGGACGGAAGGUUGUCUUUCUUGGCCUGUUCUGCUGAAGCGUUGCUUGGGAGCGGAGUACAUGCGCCGUCAAGAGCCGAACCGCGUGUGGAUUGGAGUUUAUCACUUUCACUAGUGUUGUCUGCGAGCACUGCACACCAAAAGUCAGUGUUUGAGACACGGACAUCCACCCCGGUUGACGGCGUAGGAAGGAGCGGGAGACUCGUCAGUUUUUCUGACUCAUCUGAGCUUGUUUUUUGCCGGGAGGGCUCCAAACCGCCGGUAGUCAGGUUCCUUUUUUUCGGUCUUUCCUCGUCCUGUCUCCGCCACGAGGACGAACUCUCGCCUCCGGCAGAAGCAAACGAACGCGAGGUAGACCAGUCGGCACUCACUCGCACAUUUUCGAGCCUUGCCUGUGUGCAGUGCCCCUCUGUCUGUUCUGCCGCCACAGUCUUGGUGGCUAGACCUUCGUACACUGCUUUCCCUCUCUGUCGCCGUCGUUCCCCCAUGCGCCACCAGUCUGCCUCGAUUUCCCUUUCCCGCGUUUCUGCCUGUGUCUCCCGCGGCCGUCCCUGUUCGUCUUCUGACACUGCGGGCGAGAAGACGGAACCGAGCGUCCGGUCGCCACUGCGAGCGCCGCGUUCGUCGCCUUCGCCAGGCGAAUUCGGCCCGCGCUCUGUCGCGCUUGCAUACUUGCCACAGAAGUGCGUUCCUGGACUAAACGCGUACAAGUCCAUCAGAGUUCUGCGUGUUCUGUCUCCGCCGUACGGCGAAGGCGUGUCGCCGCCAGCGUACCGACUAGUUUCGCAGGACGACGGUCGAGCCAUUGUGGACAUCGACGCAAUCGCUGCGCUGCCUUUGAGUGCAUUCAUGCACCGCUCAAGAGUCCGCUGCCGCUGUCUGAGUUCCUGGAGCUGGCCGGGAUUCCGCUGCAGGUCGAGGAACUUAGCGUAGGUCUGCUGCAGACUGAUGCAUUGCAGCCGACAAAGCUCCACACACAUGCGCCGGUACGACUCGACAAAAAGCGUGUCGUUCUUCAGAAAUGACCGGCGGAAAAUCGUCUCCGG
RNAcentral lists this long non-coding RNA (1071 nucleotides) under Toxoplasma gondii VEG. Lineage: Eukaryota; Apicomplexa; Conoidasida; Eucoccidiorida; Sarcocystidae. The record is from RNAcentral.